Molecule: ribosomal RNA, 681 nt
Filed under: Triticum aestivum (bread wheat)
Lineage: Eukaryota; Viridiplantae; Streptophyta; Magnoliopsida; Poales; Poaceae
Description: partial small subunit ribosomal RNA
Source: RNAcentral
AUGAUUGAUAGCGGUGUUCGACCGAAUGCUGUGACAUACGGUAGCCUGAUCCAUGGAUAUUCCACUUCAGGCCAGUUUGAAGAGGUAGUUAGGUUAUUGGAAGAAAUGAGAGGUCAAGGUGUCGAACCAAAUCUUUUUACUCACAACACAGUCAUGGACUACCUUUGCAAGCAUGGAAGAACGAAAGAAGCUGCGGAACUUUUUUAUUCCAUGGCUGAGAAGGGCCAUAAACCUAAUAUGGUCUCAUUCUCUAUUAUGCUUCAUGGGUACGCUAUAGAAGGAUCCCUUGCUGAAAUGACUGAUCUCUGUGAGCUGAUGGCAAGAGACGGUAUCGUACCCAACAUCUGUAUUUUCAACAUACUGAUUAAUGCAUAUGCUAAGUGUGGAAUUAUGGAUGUGGCUAUGCUUUUCUUCGAAGACAUGUUGAAGCAGGGAGUGACCCCUGAUGAAGUCACAUAUUUAGCUGUAAUAGCUGGGUAUUGCAGAAUGGGCAGGAUGGAUGAUGCUAUCAAGAAAUUCAAUGAGAUGAUUGAUAUGGGAGUAGCACAUAGCUUAACUAUUUACAGGUGCAUGAUUCAUGGUUAUUUUCGUCAUGGCAAUUUCUUGAAAGCGAAGGAAUUGAUUACUGAAAUGAAGAACAAGGGUAUUCGUCCUUGUCCGCGAAAAAAGCCAAAGAAUUGA